This is a long non-coding RNA of Daucus carota subsp. sativus, 915 nucleotides long. RefSeq lists it as uncharacterized. The record is from RefSeq and is a predicted model, not a curated record. The transcript is spliced from 5 exons. NCBI's taxonomy places the organism in Eukaryota, Viridiplantae, Streptophyta, Magnoliopsida, Apiales, Apiaceae.
CUUUUUACAGUUAAUUAAAUUUCUUUACAUUAAAAAAUAACCUCCCUCGUAGACUGCCCUGAUGCAGUGAUACAAAACUGCAACCAUCGCUAAAAGUUAAAACCAUCGGUGAAGAAUUGCUCCAUUACACACUGAUAGUAUACUCCUCUGUUUACACCACACAUCCUUUAUGUCUAUAUUGCUGAAUUAAAGUCAGUCAUCAAAGAAAUUAGAAGUACAUCUAGUUUAGAACUCAGGCUUUCUCCUGACCAUUAUGCUGAUCCUAGCCACUGGUGCCUUCUUGGAUUACGUGAUACUUGGAUUCAACUCUUCUAUACUGCACUGUUUCAUCAAUGACUUAGCCUUCUGCUAAAGAGGUAGUGGUCUGGCUCGAGUUAUGGCAGGUGCAUUGGUUGAUGAUGCACAGUCCUUGUCCAGACAAUUUGCUGCAAUGAGUCUAAGGAAUGAAGAAAGACCAUGGCCUAGCAGUACUACUUGGGGCAGGAUGGGAUAAAAGAAGACAGCCAGCUCUACUUCGGCGAGCUCUUAUGAAGGAGGAGGAGACAUGGAAUUUAAGCAGAGCAGGUUCUUUCCGGCAGAAAGGAAAAUUGUCACUGCCAAUCCAGAUAUAAACAUUGUAUUGUUGCGGAAUACAAGUUCUUUUAAUCAUGUGGACUUUAUUCGCUCUGCUAAUAAUUGAUUUUUUGCGGAAUAACAGGCACAGGUUCAUCGGUUUCUCAAGAACAACUUGCUCAAGGAACAAGUUGCUCAUGUAGUAGUUUUGUGUUUUAUUAGAAAUUGUAGUUAUGUACAGUAGUUUCUUGAGAAAGAUUUAUAGAGGAUUUCAUAUUUUAUGUUCAAUAUAUAUUUAUUUGUAAUUAUUCAGUUGUACACAAAUAAUUUCAUUAUUAAUUAAAUAAUUUUUUGUUGGAAUAA